GAUGAAGAACGCAGCGAAAUGCGAUAAGUAAUGUGAAUUGCAGAAUUCAGUGAAUCAUCGAAUCUUUGAACGCACAUUGCGCCCGCUAGUAUUCUGGCGGGCAUGCCUGUCCGAGCGUCAUUUCAACCCUCAAGCCCCCGGGCUUGGUGUUGGGGAUCGGCGAGCCUUCGCGCCCGCCGUCCCCUAAAUCUAGUGGCGGUCUCGCUGUAGCUUCCUCUGCGUAGUAGCACACCUCGCACUGGGAAACAGCGCGGCCACGCCGUUAAACCCCCAACUUCUGAACGUUUGACCUCGGAUCAGGUAGGAAUACCCGCUGAACUUAAGCAUAUCAAUAAGCGGAGGA
This 343-nucleotide unclassified non-coding RNA is filed under the name soil metagenome. RNAcentral describes it as "partial contains 5.8S ribosomal RNA, internal transcribed spacer 2, and large subunit ribosomal RNA". The stretch from base 1 to 120 matches the Rfam family "5.8S ribosomal RNA", at positions 35 to 154 of the family's 154-position model. The record is from RNAcentral.